RNAcentral lists this ribosomal RNA (274 nucleotides) under uncultured bacterium. RNAcentral's name for it is "partial 16S ribosomal RNA". It matches the Rfam family "Bacterial small subunit ribosomal RNA", at positions 523 to 796 of the family's 1533-position model. The record is from RNAcentral.
AUACGGAGGGUCCGAGCGUUAUCCGGAAUCAUUGGGUUUAAAGGGUCCGUAGGCGGGAAUCUAAGUCAGUGGUGAAAUCUUGCAGCUCAACUGUAAAAUUGCCAUUGAUACUGGAUUUCUUGAAUUAGUGUGAAGUGGUUAGAAUGUGUAGUGUAGCGGUGAAAUGCAUAGAUAUUACACAGAAUACCAAUUGCGAAGGCAGAUCACUCACACUAUAUUGACGCUAAGGGACGAAAGCGUGGGGAGCGAACAGGAUUAGAAACCCGGGUAGUCC